RNAcentral lists this unclassified non-coding RNA (2338 nucleotides) under Owenia fusiformis. RNAcentral's name for it is "misc RNA OFUS_LOCUS20344". The record is from RNAcentral. Lineage: Eukaryota; Metazoa; Annelida; Polychaeta; Sabellida; Oweniidae.
AAACAAAUCGCAAAACUGAAUGAUCGAUUUAUGCAACUUACAGCUGACUUUCUUGAACUACAAGCCCAAGUAACAGGCCUCAAAACUGAUAACCAAAAGGCAACAUUAGACAUUGAUGAGCUAAGACAUCAGAAAACAACCCCGGUGGAUCAACAAAAACAUCAAAACUUUUGGAAUACAUUAACACAUACUGGACGCAAUCAUGAAGCUAGACCAGAUUCCUGUAAUUGCCACACAGAGAUUCAAAGACUUGAGAGAAAGAUCCAGAAUGUGACAAUGACGAUGGAGAAGGACAUACAGUCACGUCAUACUAUCAUACACAAGAUCCACAAAGUGGAGAAUGACAUGAAUAAACACAAUAGACACAUUAAUAGGAUGGAGCGGAAUAUGGAGCACCUGGAGCAAAAGAGAGGGCAUCAGGCUGACAUGGAUCCCAGACAGGGGAGCGCAAUGACAGAUAUAAGACAACAGAUGCAACGUCUGGAAGAUGAGAUUGUUUACUUAAAGAGUGCACCCCCAGUUACAGCACCCAUACCUGCCGCUCCACUUAAUGCACCCCAAGAUGCUGGACCAUGCCCUAAAGACUGGGUACACUAUAUGUCAUCAUGCUACAAGUUUGAGAAUGUGACAGUGAACUGGCCAAUGGCAGAGAGGCAUUGUCGGGCCAUCCACCCCGAAUCAACGCUGCUCUCGGUAGAAACCCAGCAAGAGAAUGAGUUCAUCAUUGCGUACAGAGAUUACAAUGGAGCUGAAUGGACCAGCCCAUGGUGGUGGGCUGGGGGUACAGACAUGGAAAGAGAGGGCAGCUGGAUGUGGAUCGGCACAAGAAAGCCUAUAACAUUUCACUAUUGGAUCAAACCUGGUGCAGGACAGCGAGAGGAUGAAGAAAAUUCAGACUGUAUGUACUACACAUCAAAUGGAGACCAUAGGUGGGAUGAUUGGAACUGUAAAUCUAUUAAGAUUAACUUUGUAUGCGAGAUUAUCCUGUGAACAGGUUAAAUAUGCGCUUUAUAUAUAUCUAUCAGUAAAACAUGAAUUAAGUUCCUUGUGUGCAAUUGUAUUGUAUUUUCUACUUUCAUACACCUAUUUUUCAGACACCUAUUAAGGGUCUGUGUUACACAGCAGCAUUUUGACAAAGAACUUCAAACGAAUAAUUUUUGAUAUGUUACACAGGCACAAAAAUCUUUGUUAAGUUUGCAAAUUCGUAACCCUGAUGUGUAACCAUUGAUGUACCAUUGACAACCCAUUGACUAUACCACUGUAAUGGCAAAACAUCAUAUUAUAUUUUAUUCAUUAUUCACAAUUUGUGUUUAUUUCACUAUUGUAAAUUCAAGAUGCACGCAUUAUAACAUGUAUAUACCAGUGAAUGUACAUAUACCUUUAUGUAUCUAUCAAACAAUCCAUGAAUGAGAAGUAUGUACUACUAUGUUUGUCUAAAAUGACAAGUAAAAAACAAACCCAGUGAACCUUUUAACGGAACAAUCAGUGUAAUAAGAUUAACAGUAAAUCAAGCAGUGGAACAGAAUGACAUGCGAAUCUUACCUAACAUUGAAGGUUGAAAAUCAAUGAUGCUAUUCAUGCCUCAGUCACAUUUACGCCAACUGAUGGCUCGCACCUGUGCAAUGUCUUAAAAAAUCAGUCAAAAAUCUCAUGGAGUCAAUACAGUUCCUUGUCUUGAUUUAAACCAAAAAUCUCAUCAACCAGGUGCCUUUUCGCAAAUGUGACUGAGGUUUGAAGCACUUGAGCGUUUUGCGAGGGAUCGCCAAGCAUACAAACUGUUUAUGGAGGAAGAACAAGGUAGAUGAUGUAGAUAUUAGAUAAUAUACCUUAGAUUAUGUCAAUACAUAUUGUGACAGAACAUUGACAGAAAACUUAUAUAUGAACCAUAUAUACUUCAGGUCAAUUGUACAUAUUAACGUGGUAUUCAUACACUGACAUUAUUGUCUCCAUUGAUUAAACAACAAAUUAUUUUUUCAAAAAUAUUGUGACUUGGUGACAUAUAGAGAACUAAAUUGACUUAAUCUAUAUUAUUCUAGAAACAUAAUGAUGUGUGCUUUUUUAAGAAUACAUGGAUUAGAAGAACAAUCAUAAAAGGUGACUUUUGGGUCACAUUUUUAAACCUGAUGAAAAAUUAUUAAUUUCACUAACACAAAAAUAAUUGAUCAACCUUCUAGUUUUCAGCCUUUUUGAUUUAAUGAUAGGUAACUUUUUUUCUAAAAAUGCAUUAGGCAAUGCAAAGUCAAUUUUUACCUAGCUUAAUAAAAGGUGAUGUAAUGAUGCAUUUUAUUCUUGCAUUUCAACUUUUACCUCAAUUUUGCCAAGAAUCUAGAUAACAUUU